UCGACAGAUCAACUGACAUUGCUGUGAAUUCGCGCGUGCUUGUCGUUUGUAUACGUUUGCUCGCAACCGCGCAGUGUCGUUCUGCUCAGGUGUGUUGUUUUUCACUGUUUUUCACAGGAAUGGCGUGUCGAGGAAAGAAGAUAAUGUGCGUUAUGAAGGGUAAAAGCAGUGGUGACGGUGUCCGACAUUAAAUCUUUGAACCCGUGCCAUCCGAAAGACUUUUGCGAGCGAUCGUCGUACGUGGUAAAGUGGACAUCAGAAGAUGAUGAACGCUCUGAUACAGAAGCAUUUUACAAAGCAAGGCUCCUGCUUUUGGGAUAAAGCCACAACUACUCAGUGUCCUGGUCUACAUAUAAUGCUACCAUUCCCUAGGGAGAGGACGGGACCCAGGGACAAGGGGGGUCCCUGUGAACGUAGUAAUGACCAAAAGUGUAUCAUAUAAUAUAUAUCAGCAUAACAUA
Ornithodoros turicata is the source of this 461-nucleotide long non-coding RNA. RefSeq lists it as uncharacterized. NCBI's taxonomy places the organism in Eukaryota, Metazoa, Arthropoda, Arachnida, Ixodida, Argasidae. The transcript is spliced from 3 exons. The record is from RefSeq and is a predicted model, not a curated record.